CGAUUUUGGCCACGAUAUGUGCUUUUCCAUUUGGUAGAUUUCAUUCAUUAGUAAGUUUUCAUGGGUUUCGAGUUUUUCCACGAAUUUCUUCUGGUGGCUUUGGAUAUACUUACAAAAAGGCACAACCCUGGACGUGUUGUAUAUAAUUUCUAACUCCUUGGCCACUAUUGGGGAAAUAGAGAACCAGAUCGGAAACCCGUACGCUAAGAUAGAUCUAAUUGUAACUUUGUAGAGAAGUAACUUCGUGUGUUGUGGUAGGUAUUUGCUAUUUAAUAGAUACGAAAACUUUACUAAUAUACCUUUUGUCUUCUGCAUGACGGACCGUGCGUGUUUAUUGAACUUCAUCAAAUUGGUGAGAGUAAUGCCCAAGUAUUUUAGAGAUGUUUUAAAGGGAAUCUCAACUCCUUCAAGAGACAGCUGAAGCGCUUUACUCUCUGGAACAACGUUUCUAGGGCAUUUUCCCGAAGCGUUCCGGAAACAUAUUGCUACGGAUUUAUCGGCAUUGAUUUUGAUUCCCCAUACUUCCUUGCGGCACCCCACUGUUUACUAAACCCGUGGUUGACGACGGGUUUUUGAUAUUAAUUAAAAACUUUCGUGCAGUGAAAAAACGUGCCAUCAACUUGACCAGGAAUAAAAAAAUAUGAGAUCAAUGAUUUGAAGAAAUUGCCAUGGAAUGGGACAGUUUGGAUCGUAUUUUUGAACGUAAAUCCAUUUUAAAUUUGAAAAAUUUAACCGCAAUUACUUCUGUUAAGGUGUGAGUACAUAAAAGGCUUUUUUGACUGGCUUAAGUCAUCGGCGGGCUUCUUCGGAAAAGAACAAAGGACCGUAGGGCCAAAUUCGUACGAAGUCAAGCCAAAUUCCUUUAUUUCCUUGGCAUCAUGGCUAGGCAUAUCAAUGUCAAAUUAUAAAGGGGAACUACGGCACAAUUCGAAAGCGGCUCUGUCAUCCCUUUAUGAUAUGUCACGAACUAUGCCAUGCGAAGACUUCAAGCUCUUUAUGUACUUACACAUUUAGUAUUCUUGACAAUAUUUUUUUUAGGUCUAUCUUGUUGGAAAAAUGCAUCACCAUUAAAUUAGGACUUUUCCUAGACUUUAAGGGCAUGAUGUGCCCUCACUACUAUUUUUAGUACUGGUCUUUCACUUAAAUCUUCUUUUCAUAUAGGUGGUGGUCUAAGAAUGUACUGAGUUCUCCAUUUCUAUUCAUUUCUAACUUGAGCACCAGCUGUUGGUAUUUCUAUCCCAAUUCAUCAUGGCUGAAAUUUUCAUGGGACUCACUAGCAAUACUCAGAGAUGCUUGACCAUCUAUUCUCUUUAGAUUGCAACAUAAUAUACUUUUUCAAUAAAUACUUUAAUUUAAUUAAUUUAA
Molecule: long non-coding RNA, 1365 nt
Organism: Musca domestica (house fly)
Lineage: Eukaryota; Metazoa; Arthropoda; Insecta; Diptera; Muscidae
Exons: 3
Source: RefSeq, a predicted model, not a curated record